ACAACUUUAACUUAAUAUCCUCUUAACAAAUUAUGCGUAUUUAAUUUUAAAAUUCUGAUUGAGAAAAUGAUACUCUCGAAAUUUUUUGGGAUUUCAUCCUUAUAGUGUCAUUUAGUCUCGUAUAGCAUUAUAUAGUGCUGUAUCACUAGGCUUUUAUAAAAUUGUAUAGUGUUGUAUAGCCCUUGUUGUAAGUUGAUUAAUAAGUUGACCUGCUAACAAUAUAUGUAGUUUUUGACAGUUUUUUGUAAAAAAAAAAUACAGACAGAUGGAAUAUAUAAUAGUUUUAUGCACUUGCAUUAUUAAUAGUGUUAUAGUACAUAAUAAUGAUGUUG
Paramuricea clavata is the source of this 332-nucleotide non-coding RNA. Lineage: Eukaryota; Metazoa; Cnidaria; Anthozoa; Malacalcyonacea; Plexauridae. The record is from the annotation of a GenBank genome assembly.